AGCUUGUAAAAAGAAAAUAUGUACUCCAGUUUCAAACUAUAAAUUAUCAUGCUCAAUUACUUGUGCUCCUCUCCACUCUUCACCAGGAUUCACAACAAGAGGAACCAACAUUGAAGCAGGGCCCGUGCAGAUAAAGUAUUCCUUCCCAUACUUGUCCGAAAAUGAACCCGGACUUGAUAGGUAAAUAUCUUCAAACCCCAUACGUAUUAUCCUGAAGAAGAGCUCACGGCCCUGGGAAAAAACAAAAAUGUUAUAAAGCGCGCCAUUAAUAGUAGAAACAGCAAGCAUGAUAAUCCACUAGUCUUUUGUUUUGAAUGUGAUAUACCUGAUCAAUUGUUUCAUAUUUUGAAGGUAUUGAAUUAUAAAAUUCCUUUGCUCUUUCUUCUGGUGGAACACUGUAAAGUCUACUGAGCUUGUGCUUCAAUACAGUGAUGGGAACAUCUUGAGCAGACCAUAUUCCCGGCUUCAAUUCUGGCUCCCAACCAAACGAGAAUAAACCAGGCUCCUCAGUUUUCAUAGCUUCCCCUGGAGAUAAAAUUUCAAAGGGAGAAGACAAAGGAGGAUGUGCGCAAUAAGUGCAGCUGCGGAGUCCUUGUAUUCCUGUACCCCCUCUUGUCUUAGACUUCAAAUGGCUUAGUAUAGCACUCGUUAACUUGACAGGUUUGCGGCCAUUGUUCUUCACUAUAACUGCUGUUGCCAUGCUCAGUGGAUAGAGUGACACCACAUAGUUAAUAUCGAGACUCCCUCUGCUGCAGCUCAAUUCAAC
This 766-nucleotide long non-coding RNA is filed under the name Nicotiana tabacum (common tobacco). RNAcentral's name for it is "long non-coding RNA (NTAB_LNC019013)". Lineage: Eukaryota; Viridiplantae; Streptophyta; Magnoliopsida; Solanales; Solanaceae. The record is from RNAcentral.